Molecule: long non-coding RNA, 334 nt
Organism: Numida meleagris (helmeted guineafowl)
Lineage: Eukaryota; Metazoa; Chordata; Aves; Galliformes; Numididae
Exons: 2
Source: RefSeq, a predicted model, not a curated record
GACUCGGCAGGAUCUGCUCCGUGCGCUGCUGCUGUGGCAGGGGGCGAUUUCUCAGCCUGACGUGGAGGACGGGACCGCGGGAAGAGGCCUGUGAGGAUGAAGCACAGGAAGAAUAAAAUUUCAUCAAAAAUCUCUGACAAACACCCUGAGAACUCACUGAGAACUGCAAUCACUUCCAUUGAACCAGGCUGACGCAUUUGUUUCACAAAAGUAAGAUCAAAUAUCCCACUAUUUUUAUGGCUUUGUUGCUCUCAUUUUUUAAGUUUUAACUAAAAAAUAUUUUAAAAAUGUAAUAAAAAUGUAAAUGUUUUGGUUACUUAUUGUCUUAGUUUCA